UACGGAGGGUGCGAGCGUUGUCCGGAAUCACUGGGCGUAAAGGGCGCGUAGGCGGCUUAACAAGUCACUUGUGAAAUCUCCGGGCUUAACUCGGAACGGCCAAGUGAAACUGUCAAGCUAGAGUGCAGAAGGGGCAAUCGGAAUUCUUGGUGUAGCGGUGAAAUGCGUAGAUAUCAGGAAGAACACCCGUGGCGAAAGCGGCUCUCUGGAACGGUACUGACGCUGAGACGCGAAAGCGUGGGGAGCGAACAGG
This 253-nucleotide ribosomal RNA is filed under the name uncultured bacterium. RNAcentral describes it as "partial 16S ribosomal RNA". It matches the Rfam family "Bacterial small subunit ribosomal RNA", at positions 524 to 776 of the family's 1533-position model. The record is from RNAcentral.